Molecule: long non-coding RNA, 270 nt
Filed under: Homo sapiens (human)
Lineage: Eukaryota; Metazoa; Chordata; Mammalia; Primates; Hominidae
Description: non-protein coding lnc-TMBIM1-3:1
Source: RNAcentral
UCCCCUCCCCUGAGCAGUGUGGGGGGAUGAUGCCCGCUUGGGUGCCGAUGGAGGUGGUGGUGUUAGCGAUGAGAAGGAUGAUGAGGUGUUGGUGGUGGCGGCCUCCCCAUGCGGGGAGUGGGCUGGGCUGGGGGCGCUGGGGGCAUCACUUGCUCUUGUGCAUAUCCUUCAGCCGGCGGAGCUCUUCCAGGAGCUGGGCCCGGGAGUAGUCAUCAUCCCCAGUGGGGCCCGGCCCCGGCCCCAGAGCCUCCUGUAGCGCCAGGCAGUGGG